Molecule: ribosomal RNA, 511 nt
Filed under: Escherichia coli
Lineage: Bacteria; Pseudomonadati; Pseudomonadota; Gammaproteobacteria; Enterobacterales; Enterobacteriaceae
Description: bacterial SSU rRNA
Rfam family: Bacterial small subunit ribosomal RNA
Source: RNAcentral
UGUCUGGGAAACUGCCUGAUGGAGGGGGAUAACUACUGGAAACGGUAGCUAAUACCGCAUAACGUCGCAAGACCAAAGAGGGGGACCUUCGGGCCUCUUGCCAUCGGAUGUGCCCAGAUGGGAUUAGCUUGUUGGUGGGGUAACGGCUCACCUAGGCGACGAUCCCUAGCUGGUCUGAGAGGAUGACCAGCCACACUGGAACUGAGACACGGUCCAGACUCCUACGGGAGGCAGCAGUGGGGAAUAUUGCACAAUGGGCGCAAGCCUGAUGCAGCCAUGCCGCGUGUAUGAAGAAGGCCUUCGGGUUGUAAAGUACUUUCAGCGGGGAGGAAGGGAGUAAAGUUAAUACCUUUGCUCAUUGACGUUACCCGCAGAAGAAGCACCGGCUAACUCCGUGCCAGCAGCCGCGGUAAUACGGAGGGUGCAAGCGUUAAUCGGAAUUACUGGGCGUAAAGCGCACGCAGGCGGUUUGUUAAGUCAGAUGUGAAAUCCCCGGGCUCAACCUGGGAAC